UUCAGAUCGCAGUCUGCAACCCGACCUGCGUGAAGUCGGAAUCGCUAGUAAUCGCGGAUCAGCAUGCCGCGGGUGAAUACGUUCCCGGGCCUUGUACACACCGCCCGUCACACCAUGAGAGUUGGGAACACCCGAAGUCCGUAGCCUAACCGCAAGGGGGGCGCGGCCGAAGGUGGGUUCAAUAAUUGGGGUGAAGUCGUAACAAGGUAAC
RNAcentral lists this ribosomal RNA (211 nucleotides) under uncultured bacterium. Its description in RNAcentral is "partial 16S ribosomal RNA". It matches the Rfam family "Bacterial small subunit ribosomal RNA", at positions 1292 to 1500 of the family's 1533-position model. The record is from RNAcentral.